UAGAUUGAAGCCAGUUUACUAGGGUAUUUAGCUGUUAACUAAAAGUUCGUGGGAGAUGUAUCCCUCCAAUCUAGU
Tursiops truncatus (common bottlenose dolphin) is the source of this 75-nucleotide non-coding RNA. The record is from Ensembl. Lineage: Eukaryota; Metazoa; Chordata; Mammalia; Artiodactyla; Delphinidae.